This 900-nucleotide ribosomal RNA is filed under the name Dothideomycetes sp. 11201. RNAcentral describes it as "eukaryotic LSU rRNA". The stretch from base 383 to 900 matches the Rfam family "Eukaryotic large subunit ribosomal RNA", at positions 1 to 598 of the family's 3401-position model. The record is from RNAcentral. Lineage: Eukaryota; Fungi; Ascomycota; Dothideomycetes.
AUCAUUAUCGAUGGCCGCGCCGUGAGCGCCCUGGUGCAGGAUCGGCCGGCCACUGACCACACCCUUACUUUACGAGCACCUUUCGUUCUCCUUCGGCGGGGCAACCCGCCGCUGGAACCUCAUCAAACCUUUUUUUGCAUCUAGCAUUACCUGUUCUGAUAAAAAACAAUCGUAACAACUUUCAACAAUGGAUCUCUUGGCUCUGGCAUCGAUGAAGAACGCAGCGAAAUGCGAUAAGUAGUGUGAAUUGCAGAAUUCAGUGAAUCAUCGAAUCUUUGAACGCACAUUGCGCCCCUUGGUAUUCCAUGGGGCAUGCCUGUUCGAGCGUCAUCUACACCCUCAAGCUCUGCUUGGUGUUGGGCGUCUGUCCCGCCUCUGCGCGCGGACUCGCCCCAAAGAGUGAAGCGGCAACAGCUCAAAUUUGAAAUCUGGCUCCUUUGGGGUCCGAGUUGUAAUUUGCAGAGGGUGCUUUGGCAUCGGCGGCGGUCUAAGUUCCUUGGAACAGGACAUCGCAGAGGGUGAGAAUCCCGUACGUGGGCGCCUGCCUUUGCCGUGUAAAGCCCCUUCGACGAGUCGAGUUGUUUGGGAAUGCAGCUCUAAAUGGGAGGUAAAUUUCUUCUAAAGCUAAAUACCGGCCAGAGACCGAUAGCGCACAAGUAGAGUGAUCGAAAGAUGAAAAGUACUUUGGAAAGAGAGUCAAAUAGCACGUGAAAUUGUUGAAAGGGAAGCGCUUGCAGCCAGACUUGCCCGCAGUUGCUCACCCAGGCUCCGGCCUGGGGCACUCUUCUGCGGGCAGGCCAGCAUCAGUUUGGGCGGUUGGAUAAAGGCCUCUGUCACGUAUCUCCCUUCGGGGUGACCUUAUAGGGGAGGCGCAAUGCAACCAGCCCGGACGAGGUCCGC